Molecule: small nucleolar RNA, 107 nt
Filed under: Thalictrum thalictroides
Lineage: Eukaryota; Viridiplantae; Streptophyta; Magnoliopsida; Ranunculales; Ranunculaceae
Description: Plant small nucleolar RNA R71
Rfam family: Plant small nucleolar RNA R71
About the family: R71 is a member of the C/D box family of snoRNAs containing the C (UGAUGA) and D (CUGA) box motifs.
Source: Rfam by way of RNAcentral
AUCUGAUGAUGUGGACAUUGUAUCUGCAACUCCCCAAAUCUUUCCCAAGCUUCGAUGAACUCCUCCGUAUGCUUCUGUCUAAAAAUUUGGAUCUUGUUUCUCAACUC